This 270-nucleotide non-coding RNA is filed under the name Geobacillus sp. RNAcentral's name for it is "T-box sequence". It matches the Rfam family "T-box leader". From Rfam's summary of the family: Uncharged tRNA acts as the effector for transcription antitermination of genes in the T-box leader family. T-boxes are found upstream of many aminoacyl-tRNA synthetase genes and some amino acid biosynthetic genes usually in Gram-positive bacteria. The anticodon of a specific tRNA base pairs to a specifier sequence within the T-box motif, and the NCCA acceptor tail of the tRNA base pairs to a conserved bulge in the T-box antiterminator hairpin. The record is from RNAcentral. Lineage: Bacteria; Bacillati; Bacillota; Bacilli; Caryophanales; Anoxybacillaceae.
GUGAAAGCGUUGACGAGGAUAAGUAGUCAGCGGGGACAGCAUCCACAGAGAGCCGGGGGAGCUGGGAACCGGUGAUGCUGCCGCUUGACGAACUCACCUCUGAGCGCCAGCCUGAACGUCAUAUGGCUAGUAGGGUUGGACGGGUGGAGAACAAUUGCUUCACUCGUUACUAAAAAGAGCGGUUGGCUGAUUUGCCAAUCGCUCAUGAGGUGGUCGUAAUGGCCACGAAGAAGGGUGGUACCGCGAAAAGUGAACCUUUUCGCCCCUUUG